RNAcentral lists this ribosomal RNA (497 nucleotides) under uncultured bacterium. Its description in RNAcentral is "partial 16S ribosomal RNA". It matches the Rfam family "Bacterial small subunit ribosomal RNA", at positions 28 to 507 of the family's 1533-position model. The record is from RNAcentral.
GAUGAACGCUGGCGGCGUGCCUAAUACAUGCAAGUCGAGCGAACAGACGAGGAGCUUUCUCCUCUGACGUUAGCGGCGGACGGGUGAGUAACACGUGGAUAACCUACCUAUAAGACUUGGAUAACUUCGGGAAACCGGAGCUAAUACCGGAUAAUAUAUUGAACCGCAUGGUUCAAUAGUGAAAGACGGUUUUGCUGUCACUUAUAGAUGGAUCCGCGCCGCAUUAGCUAGUUGGUAAGGUAACGGCUUACCAAGGCAACGAUGCGUAGCCGACCUGAGAGGGUGAUCGGCCACACUGGAACUGAGACACGGUCCAGACUCCUACGGGAGGCAGCAGUAGGGAAUCUUCCGCAAUGGGCGAAAGCCUGACGGAGCAACGCCGCGUGAGUGAUGAAGGUCUUCGGAUCGUAAAACUCUGUUAUUAGGGAAGAACAAAUGUGUAAGUAACUAUGCACGCCUUGACGGUACCUAAUCAGAAAGCCACGGCUAACUACGUG